RNAcentral lists this ribosomal RNA (446 nucleotides) under uncultured bacterium. RNAcentral describes it as "bacterial SSU rRNA". It matches the Rfam family "Bacterial small subunit ribosomal RNA", at positions 28 to 465 of the family's 1533-position model. The record is from RNAcentral.
GAUGAACGCUAGCUACAGGCUUAACACAUGCAAGUCGAGGGGCAGCAUGAACUUAGCUUGCUAAGUUUGAUGGCGACCGGCGCACGGGUGAGUAACACGUAUCCAACCUGCCGAUGACUCGGGGAUAGCCUUUCGAAAGAAAGAUUAAUACCCGAUGGCAUAGUUCUUCCGCAUGGUGGAACUAUUAAAGAAUUUCGGUCAUCGAUGGGGAUGCGUUCCAUUAGGUUGUUGGCGGGGUAACGGCCCACCAAGCCUUCGAUGGAUAGGGGUUCUGAGAGGAAGGUCCCCCACAUUGGAACUGAGACACGGUCCAAACUCCUACGGGAGGCAGCAGUGAGGAAUAUUGGUCAAUGGACGAGAGUCUGAACCAGCCAAGUAGCGUGAAGGAUGACUGCCCUAUGGGUUGUAAACUUCUUUUAUACGGGAAUAAAGUGAGGCACGUGUGC